GAGGGUAGGGAUUGGCUGAGGGUAGGCAGUCAUUGGAAAUAAGAAUUAGUUCUUAACUGACUUGCCUAGUUAAAUACAGAUGACGAAGUGUGUGUGUGUGUGUGUGUGUGUGUGUGUGUGUGUGUGUGUCAGUUACAAUAAUGUGUCAGGCGUGUGUCAGGCGUGUGUGUGUGUCAGGCGUGUGUGUGUGUCAGGUGUCUUACUGUGUGUGUCAGGUGUCUUACUGUGUGUUGGCCCUCCAGGUGUCUUACUGUGUGUUGGCCCUACAGGUGUCUUACUGUGUGUUGGCCCUCCAGGUGUCUUACUGUGUGUUGGCCCUCCAGGUGUCUUACUGUGUGUAGGUCCUCCAGGUGUCUUACUGUGUGUCAGGUGUCUUACUGUGUGUUGGCCCUCCAGGUGUCUUACUGUGUGUUGGCCUUCCAGGUGUCUUACUGUGUGUUGGCCCUCCAGGUGUCUUACUGUGUGUUGGCCUUCCAGGUGUCUUACUGUGUGUUGGCCCUCCAGGUGUCUUACUGUGUGUUGGCCCUACAGGUG
Oncorhynchus keta (chum salmon) is the source of this 534-nucleotide long non-coding RNA. RefSeq lists it as uncharacterized. The record is from RefSeq and is a predicted model, not a curated record. NCBI's taxonomy places the organism in Eukaryota, Metazoa, Chordata, Actinopteri, Salmoniformes, Salmonidae. The transcript has 3 exons.